GAUCUGGUUCAUCCGUUUCACUUUGCACAGUAAAACUCCAAUCCCGCUUUUCAUUGCAGCCGUCCGAUUGUUGCAUUUGUCGUUCACGUUGGCUCAGCGCUGAAACGUCUAUGACAAGCAGGCCCUCCCGUACGUGGGGUCGUGUGGUUGAGAGUAGAGGGCUGCUCCUCAGCGUAGUGAUAUCUGUCCGUCGUGGUGAAAACCUAGGCAUCGAGCAACUCCCGUCCCCCAGUCAGCCGCCUCCUUCCUCCUCCCCCAAUCCCCGAGCUGCCUCCUUCUCCUCUCCUCCUCCUCAAUUCACGGUCAAAGUUGGCGCACCGCCUUGCGCCGCCUCUCCCCGGGAUGGAUCGACCGGCAGGAGCGACGCCGCACUCCUCUCGGAGGCGGCUGGAUGCGGGAGCCGCCACCGGCAGGGAGGACGCCGCGGUUUGAAGCGGCGGCGGCCUGCAGCGCGCGGCGAGCGAUGGGAUGCCUAGACGCGGCAGCGGCGACGGAAGGCAGCGCCGAGCGACGGGGGCGGUUGGACGCGGCAGCAGUGGAGGCAGGGAGCGUGCCCGAGCGAGGAGAGGUCGUCGGCGGCUGGUGCCCUGUGUACACAUCGGGAGGAGGAUCUGCCGUCGGCCUCACGUUUGUGCAUCGUGCACCCUCCCGGCUGCCGGUGCGUCGAGGGUGGAUUGGCUCUGCUCAGGCAGGUGGCGGGCACCAUACUUGCUUCCAAGACUACGAGCACCACCUCUCGUCUUCCUCCCAAUCAAAAUCUUGCCAAAAGUGAGGGACUGCUCCUGGAAGGAAAAGAGGACAGGAGUGGCACGGGGCAUGGACGUCGCGCGGACAUCACGGUGCCGCCACAUGCGCACCACCAUGAGGUCCAUCUCUUGAUGCCGCUUUGGUGUUGAGUGUGCUCCAUCAUGAGCAAGGAAGCGAGCAGGUACAUAGGGGCGUCAAUUAAAACGGGACAGAGGGGCUAGAAAAGAACAUGCAAGUCAAGUGACUGAUUUUUGUAGCAGAGAUGUUCACGGGCUAGAAGGAACAACCUAUGUUGAGGCAUUUCUACAUAAAUAAGAAGGCUUCUGCACGUCCAAGUGUUGUUUAUGGUGGUACCUAUGUGCUAAAUAAGCCAGAUGGUCAGUUAGUGUCGAUCCCGGUUCUGGGGAACUGAUUUGGGCAAUUUUUGAAGUUUGGUUCUCAUAUAUUGGUCCUGAAAGAUAUUUUUGUGCAAGUGGCCAAUUGAUGUUACACUUAUUUGAAAGCCAAGCCCGGAAGAAAUGGUUAGAAAAUAAUGGACAGCGGUGGAUGAUUUUCAGAGCAACCUCACCUGAUGGACAAUGGUGUCUGCCGAGUGACAAGCAAAAGGCCGCAACAGUUGAUGGAUGGCGAAGGCCGCAACAGCUCGACUCCUCUUCUCUCUCCCGCCAAGAAGAAGCACCAGACAGCUGGGGAGGUUCCAGACCUUCAUGCAGGUAAAUUGGUGGCAAUUAGCAGCAAUGGACGAGGACAUCAGCUGUGUGCGUCCAUUCUACUUCUCCCCCUUCAAGAAAUUUCAGGAAUUGCAGAGAUUGGAGCCAGGUCACGCUCAUGUACUCUAGAUCUGCAUAUAUAUUUGGAUGUGUAUUGACUAUUUCUAAAUUUUCUGGUGAUAUUCUCCAUAAAUGCAUUUCAUUAAAACUGUCGAUGUUGAUGAUGGUUCGCUACACAGAAGAUUCUCACCAAUGGUGAUAACAAGCAACAUGUGAGUUCAUAUUUUCCGUGGCUUGUACAAGCAAUCACAUCUUCCACGCCGAUAUUUCCCCGUCUCUUGUACUCUGUUGUCUCCACACACUAAUUUUGCUUGAAUAUAUUCUGUGGCUUGAUUCUUUCUCUGCCAUUUGUUUCUUAUACAUUAUAGUUUGGAAUGCACAUUCCUUGGUUUUUAAGUUCUUUGUAUUACAGAGCCCAGUUUCAGCUCAUAUUAUCUACUUGGCUUGGACUUGUUUUCAGUUCAUGUUCCAAGCAAUUUUCCUGUGUUAGCCUGAGAAGCUAACUGAAAAUUGUAGGACAUAUUGAAUAUUCAGUCCUUUGAACCAAGUUCAAAAUUGCUCAUAAUAAAUCCCGGUGGAAAAUUAAUAUACUUUGAGUUCAGACAGUCAUGUAACAAAUUAAUAUGCUCAUUGUAGUAAUUUUUGGCAGGAUUGAGCUUUACCCGUGCUGUUCUUGUUGCUCCUGUCAAGGUUUGCUUCUGCUUGCCUGUGUAAAGUGUAUGCUUGCCUGUGUCACACCACCAGAAGUGAGAUUUUUUCUUGUUUGACUGUGUGUUCUUGACCUCGGACCAUGAGGUAUAAGCUCCAUUGCAUGGUGGGUUAUCUCAAAAUUAUCAUGUGGAAGAGUAUCUGGUGAUCGGUUGUAGAAACGACUACACAAUUUUCUAGAAGUAAAGCUACCAGUACUCCACUGAUUAUCAGGUGCAGAAACAAUAUGAUAUUUU
This is a non-coding RNA of Lolium perenne, 2461 nucleotides long. The record is from RefSeq and is a predicted model, not a curated record. NCBI's taxonomy places the organism in Eukaryota, Viridiplantae, Streptophyta, Magnoliopsida, Poales, Poaceae.